AUGAACGCUAGCGGCAGGCUUAAUACAUGCAAGUCGAGGGGUAGCAAGAUUGUAGCAAUACAAUUGUUGACGACCGGCAAACGGGUGCGGAACACGUACACAACCUUCCUACAAGUGGGAAUAGCCCAGAGAAAUUUGGAUUAAUACCCCGUAACAUAGCGAUGUGGCAUCACAUUGCUAUUAUAGCUUCGGCGCUUGUUGAUGGGUGUGCGGCUGAUUAGAUAGUUGGCGGGGUAACGGCCCACCAAGUCUACGAUCAGUAGCUGAUGUGAGAGCAUGAUCAGCCACACGGGCACUGAGACACGGGCCCGACUCCUACGGGAGGCAGCAGUAAGGAAUAUUGGACAAUGGACGCAAGUCUGAUCCAGCCAUGCCGCGUGAAGGAUUAAGGUCCUCUGGAUUGUAAACUUCUUUUAUAAGGGACGAAAAAAGGUCUUUCUAGAUCGUCUGACGGUACCUUAUGAAUAAGCACCGGCUAACUCCGUG
RNAcentral lists this ribosomal RNA (486 nucleotides) under uncultured bacterium. Its description in RNAcentral is "bacterial SSU rRNA". It matches the Rfam family "Bacterial small subunit ribosomal RNA", at positions 29 to 507 of the family's 1533-position model. The record is from RNAcentral.